Gopherus flavomarginatus (Mexican gopher tortoise) is the source of this 3263-nucleotide long non-coding RNA. RefSeq lists it as uncharacterized. The transcript is spliced from 2 exons. NCBI's taxonomy places the organism in Eukaryota, Metazoa, Chordata, Testudines, Testudinidae. The record is from RefSeq and is a predicted model, not a curated record.
UCCAAUUAGGCGAUUCCCAAGCCUUUACCUAGGCAGUGGGGUCGGAGUGAAGCAACAUGGAUUCUAGGACUGCUCUACCAAACGCUGUGUCAUCUCUGGCGUGCUGGAUGAUGGCACAGUACGAAGCAAAAGUGUGUACCGAGGACCAAGUUGUGACUGCAGAUUUCCUGAAUCAGGGCCAGAAAUGCUGAUGACGAAGCCUGGGCCCUCGUGUCUGAGCAGUGAGAGGCGGGGUCGGUAACGGCCAGAUCAUAGCAAGCACAGAUGCAGGAUGUGAUCCAUGAAGAGAUCUGCUGAGAGGAGACCAGGAGGGCUUUCAUCUGGAUAGCCACCACAACGAAGAGCUGGGUCAUCUUCCUAAAUGGCUUCAUACCCUCAAUGUAGAAGGCAAGGGCCCUAUGAACAUCAAGGGAGUGCAGCUGCUGUUUCUGGCGACUGGCAUGCAGUUUUGGAUUAAAAAAACUGGAAGAAAAAUGUCCUGGCUGCUAUAACCUUGGGAAGAAAGGCUGAGUGAGGCCAAAGCUGCACCUUAUCUUUAUGGAAGAUCGUGUAAGGUGGUUCCGAAGUAAGGGCUCUCGGCUCGGAGACUCAUCGUGCCAAGGUGAUAGUGACCAGGAAAGCUGUUUUCCAGGAGAGGUAGAGAAGGGAGCAGGUGGCCAGCAGCUCGAACGGGGGUCCCAUAAGUCUGGAGAGGACAAGGUUAAGGUUCCAUGUGGGGACUGGCUGUCGAACUUGUGGGUAAAGAUGAUCCAAGCCCUUGAGGAACUUGCCAACAGAGGUGGGUGCCCCAUCCCAGGGCUGAUGCAUCUGUGACGAGGGACAAGGAUGACUGCGGGCUGUGAAAAGGAACUCCUUCGCAUACCGCCUGGGGAUCUAGCCACCAGUGGAGGGAGACCAGGACCCACUCCGGGAUGAUGACCAUCAAGUUCAGGUAUACCAAUCUCCAGGAGCCAGGGAAGGUAUAAUGGUGCCCAAGGAGACCAUGCAGAACUUCAAUUUUACCAUGAACUUGUUGAGUCCAUGCAGGUCCAGAAUUUGCCAAAGCCCACCUUUCGCCUUGGGGGAUUAGGAAAUAUCGGGAGUAACACCCCCUGCCCCUUAGCUCCCUAGGGACCUCCUCGAUUUUCCCCCAUGGCGAGGAGCAUUUGAACCUCCUGAAUAAGGAGUUGCUCACGAGAAGGGUCCCUAAAGAGGGAUGGGGAAGGGAGGUGGAAGGACGGGAAAGAAGAGCAUUGGGGAGAGUAUCCCAUUUCCACCAUGCAGAGGACCCAGCGGUCCGUGGUUAUCCGAGACCAAGCACAGUGGAAAUGGGAUAAAUGAUUCAAGAAAGGUGGAGUAGAACCCUGAAUGAGGUCCAGGAUGCCAUCCUCAGGCAUCCCUUCAAAAGGCCUGUUUUGAGCCAGACGAAGGCUUGGUCAGACCCUGGCCUUGUCCUGAUGGGGGGUUGGAGGGCUUCCUCCUGCCAUUAUGUCCCUACCACCUAUAGAAAUCCGGCCUCAGCCGAGGACGAUACGGGAGCUGUUGUAACUACUGAGGCUUGAAGGGUUUCCGCUGGGUAGCCGACAUGUGCAUGCCCAGGGACUUCAUUAUUGUCCUUGAGUCUUUAAGGCUUUGUAGCCUUGAAUCUGUCUUUUCCAAAAACAGGCCCUCUCUAUCAAAGGAGAAGUCCUGCAGUGUCUGCUGAAGUUCCGGUGGUAGGCCGGAGGCUUGCAGCCAGGAGAUACGCCUCAUUGUAAUCCCUGAGGACAAAGUAUGAGUGGCGGAGUCUGCAGCAUUCAGCAAGACCUGCAGUGAGGCCCGUGCCACUGUUUUGCCCUCUUCUGCCAAAGUCCCCAACUCCUCUCUGGACUCAGGAGGUACUAACUCCUUAAAUUUCAGCACAGAGUUCCAGGAGUUACAAUUGUAACAGAUCAGGAGCACCUGCUGAUUAGUGAUCCUGAGCUCAAAACCCUCUCCCCCGACCCCCCUGAGGAAUAAACUUUGCGCCCAAACAAAUCAAGGCACUUGGCGUCCUUCAAUUUGGGUGCUGGGGCUUGCUGGCCAUGCUGUUCUCUCGUUCAGUGAUGCCACUACAAGCGAACAGGGCUGUGGGUGGGUGAACAGAUAGUCAUACCCCUACGAGGGAACAAAGUAUUUUCGCUCCAUUCCCUUAGUCCGAUCCCAAAGAAAGAGAAACAGAACAUGAGGGCCAUGGUGGCGCCAAGCGGAUCUGCAUAAGGUCACGUCUACGUAGCGAUGGGUAACGGUGCCACGACGCUGGGGACCUGGACUGAUAUCGGGACCUGGACUGAUACCGGGACCUGGACCAGCGCCUGGAUUUGGAUCAUGGUCGAGAUUAUGACCAGUGGCGAGAGCUGUGUCAGGUCCAGGAUCUGCUCCUCAACUGCGAUCGGCAGGCAGACUGGCGCAGCGACCGGGACUUAGAGCAGUGCUGUAAGCAUGACUGGCACCACAAAGGAGAACGGUGCCAGGACUGCAGGCGGCAUCAGGAACGGUGCCGAGAAUGGGAUCGGUGCCGUGGCUCGACCGACAAUGCCAAUGGGUGAAUUAGGACUGGCCUGCCCUCAGUCAGUGCCGCACGUACAGGAACCGGUGCCUUGGCACGAGGCUGAGGGGAUGCUGAUGACAUCAUGACAAUAAGAUCCCUUGAGGCAGCAAAAGUAUCCGGGGUGGACGGCAACUGGACCUGAACCACGCUGCAUGUCAGGGAGUCCAGAGGCACCAGACUCAACAGCUCUACCCUUGGGUCCGGAGUCAACGGUGCUGAAGCCAUAGGCUGCGCCCCUAAAUGCUCCCCUGCGGGACACUUCUCCAUGGGCAGUUCCAAGGAGGCUGGUCUCUGAGGAGGCGAACCACCCUUUUCCGGCUUCCAGUGCUGCUUCUGGCCAGAAUGGGAGUGGUUCCAGGCUGAUGAAGUCGGUUGCAGUGCUGGAGAGCAUCAGUGCUGCAGGUCUCAUUCAGAGUCCAACCAUGGUGCAGCUUCUUCCGCUGCCGCCGGGAUGCCACGCACUGAGGUGCUCGGUGCUGGAUCUUGGCAUGCCGCAGGAGGCUGAGGACUAAGAGCCGCCUCCAUGAAGAGCUGUUUUAAACAAAAGUCCUGCUUCUUCAUAGUCCGGGGAUGAAACCCUUUGCAGAUCCUGCACUUGUCUGCUUGAUGAGACUCCCCUAGACACUUCAGGCAAGAGUCAUGGGGGUCGCCCUUUGGCAUGGGCUUAGAGCAGGAACCGCAGGGCUUGAAUUCUGGAGCCUUCGGCAUGAGCCCA